GCCUACGUGGUGUAAAGGUCAGCACACUGAGCCGGUAUUUCAGAGGUCCGCGGUUCGAUUCCCGGCGAAGGCA
RNAcentral lists this transfer RNA (73 nucleotides) under Stegodyphus mimosarum. It matches the Rfam family "tRNA". Rfam says of the family: Transfer RNA (tRNA) molecules are approximately 80 nucleotides in length. Their secondary structure includes four short double-helical elements and three loops (D, anti-codon, and T loops). The record is from Rfam by way of RNAcentral. Lineage: Eukaryota; Metazoa; Arthropoda; Arachnida; Araneae; Eresidae.